UUGAGACCUACACCCUAGUAUCUUGGUUUUAUUGGUGUUACCUGGAGUUAUUGCCCAAAGCCUGUAGUACCUAAAACUUUGACAUCAAUACUGCUUCACUUAUCUUAAAAAACAGUGUGUGUGUGUGGUUUUUUUUCAUAAUGUUGGGAUAGUUUACAGUUACAUAUGUAAAGGAAAGUAAUGCAAGUAAUAUUGUUAGGAAAUGCAUAAGCAGGGGGAAAAAUAAUAGGGGAGAAAAAGAAGACUAUUGUGAUAGUUUUCAUUAAAAGCAAACAUUUUUACAUCACUAUUAUAUUUUUUUUUUUCCCCAAACAAUCCUACAGCAAUCCUGUACAGCUCCUUAAAGUAACCUUUCAUUUCUUGCAGAAUUUUUACCUUCUUCAUCAGCAGAAAUCCCAGUGGCAAACACAUAGAUCCUGAAGAUCAGAUUUGAUUCAGUAAGCAUCCACAGGAAUUAAUGGGAAUGUGGAGAUAGAAUUGAGAGCUGAAGACUGUCUGAGAAAAUUCGGAAAACCCAGGUAGAGUGACAGGUGUACAAGAAAUGGAAUAAUCUAACCUGAGAGUGUGCAAGCAUUCUGGAAAUACAAAACCUAAGGAUUCUGUCUAUGUGGUUUUUUGUAUUCUCACCAGUGGCCACAGUCCUCCAAGGAUUGAUGAAGAAGAGCCAGCACCUACUCUGUGUGACUGGAAUUUUGUACCAUAGUGUCCAGGGCAGUUCCCAGGCUGGGGUGAAUGCUGCGAGGUGGUCCAGGCGACUCUAUGGAACAUUCUCCAAUGGGCUAGUAGAAUGAGAAGAUCCAAAAGUAGUUUGGAAAACAAGGAGAAACAUCACCUCUCAUGACGGUAAACUUACCGAGAAGGUAAUUCAUGUUAGACUGUUGUUGCACAGCCCGCUCUUAAAGCUCAUGUAUGUAACAUGUAGCAGAAAACUAGUAGGGAAUGCUGUUUGAAUUUUCAUACUAAGUCCUCUGACUUUCUACCCCUUUCCUUGUGUGAGGGAGAAUUUGGAGGCUAUAUUUUAUGGAACUUUUCUUGCUUUCCCUUGAAAUUGUGCAAGAGCAUAAAUAAAAAAUUUACAGUGACUUAACA
Molecule: long non-coding RNA, 1089 nt
Filed under: Coturnix japonica (Japanese quail)
Lineage: Eukaryota; Metazoa; Chordata; Aves; Galliformes; Phasianidae
Description: lncRNA (ENSCJPG00005010807.1)
Source: RNAcentral